This 579-nucleotide ribosomal RNA is filed under the name Enterobacteriaceae bacterium 351UGen. RNAcentral describes it as "bacterial SSU rRNA". It matches the Rfam family "Bacterial small subunit ribosomal RNA", at positions 874 to 1453 of the family's 1533-position model. The record is from RNAcentral. Lineage: Bacteria; Pseudomonadati; Pseudomonadota; Gammaproteobacteria; Enterobacterales; Enterobacteriaceae.
UGGGGAGUACGGCCGCAAGGUUAAAACUCAAAUGAAUUGACGGGGGCCCGCACAAGCGGUGGAGCAUGUGGUUUAAUUCGAUGCAACGCGAAGAACCUUACCUGGUCUUGACAUCCACAGAACUUUCCAGAGAUGGAUUGGUGCCUUCGGGAACUGUGAGACAGGUNCUGCAUGGCUGUCGUCAGCUCGUGUUGUGAAAUGUUGGGUUAAGUCCCGCAACGAGCGCAACCCUUAUCCUUUGUUGCCAGCGGUCCGGCCGGGAACUCAAAGGAGACUGCCAGUGAUAAACUGGAGGAAGGUGGGGAUGACGUCAAGUCAUCAUGGCCCUUACGACCAGGGCUACACACGUGCUACAAUGGCGCAUACAAAGAGAAGCGACCUCGCGAGAGCAAGCGGACCUCAUAAAGUGCGUCGUAGUCCGGAUUGGAGUCUGCAACUCGACUCCAUGAAGUCGGAAUCGCUAGUAAUCGUGGAUCAGAAUGCCACGGUGAAUACGUUCCCGGGCCUUGUACACACCGCCCGUCACACCAUGGGAGUGGGUUGCAAAAGAAGUAGGUAGCUUAACCUUCGGGAGGGCGC